RNAcentral lists this small nuclear RNA (61 nucleotides) under Cervus elaphus hippelaphus. Lineage: Eukaryota; Metazoa; Chordata; Mammalia; Artiodactyla; Cervidae. The record is from RNAcentral.
AUACUCUGAUUUCUCUUCAGAUCACGUAUAUCAUUUACCUUUUAAAAAAGUAAGAUCUCCA